Molecule: long non-coding RNA, 3334 nt
Filed under: Homo sapiens (human)
Lineage: Eukaryota; Metazoa; Chordata; Mammalia; Primates; Hominidae
Description: HSALNT0395984
Source: RNAcentral
GGAGACGCGGGCAGCCAGCGAUGGCCGCGGAGGGGGCGAACUGGGUUCCGGCCCUCGGAGGCUGACGGAAGGCGGUGGCUGAGGAGCGGCGCCUCUGGUUGAGCGCUCGCCGUGUGUCCCGCACCUGUCUGUCCUGCCGCCGCCCGGUAAGGUAGGAAAGGUCAGCGCGCCGGGGUUACGGGUACAGAACCUGGGUUCGAAUCCCGGCCCCGACGUUUCCGCACUACGUGCCGUUGGGCAGGAGCUGACGUCACCUUGCCGGGCCUCAGUUUCCUUCUCUGGUGCGCUGAGGAGGCGGGGCAUGGAACGUGGUCAGCGCUUCAUCGGUGCUGGCUCUUUGAGCAAGCCAGUUCCCGAAGGCUCAGCAUCUCAUUCAUUCAUUAAAAUGUCAUUGAGCGCCUACUGUGUGUCAAUCACUGUAUGGGCAGUGAGCAGAAAAAAAAUACCUGGUCUUAUUGGGCUAACAUUCUAAACCAGCGCUGGCCUAGAAUGCCCUAGUAGAAAUACAUGCAAGCUACAUGUUUAAUUUUUUUUUAUGUAAAGAUGGGCUCUGGUUCUGUUGCCCAGGCUGGUCUCGAACUCCUGGACUCAAGCGAUUCUCCUGCCUCCGCCUCCCAAAGAGCUGGGAUUACAGGCAUGCCUGCACUCUGCCUAAUUUUUUCUUUUUUUUUUUUAUGAUCUGAAAAUAAUAGUCUUUUUAUUUUUAUUUAUUUAUUUAUUUAUUUGAGACGGAGACUCGCUCUGUCGCCAGGCUGGAGUGCAGUGGCGUGAUCUCCGCUCACUGCAACCUCCGCUUCCCAGGUUCAAGCGAUUCUCCUGCCUCAGCCUCCUAAGUAGUUGGGCCUACAGGCGCUGCGCCACCACAACCAGCUAAUUUUUGUAUUUUUAGUAGAGACGGGGUUUCACCGUGUUGGCCAUGAUGAUCUGUAUCUCUUGACCUCGUGAUCUGCCCGCCUCAGCCUCCCAAAGUGCUGGGAUUACAGGCUUGAGCCACUGCGCCUGGCCUACAAUUUUGUUUUUCUUUUUUUUUUUUUUUUUUUGAGACAGGAUCUCACUCUGUCACCCAAUUUGGAGUGCGGUGGUAUGAUCACAGCUAACUGCAGCCUCAACUUCCCCAGCUCAGGCAAUCAAUCCUCCGGCUUCAGAUUCCUGAGUAGCUUAGACUACAGGAUGUGCCACUAUGCCUGGCUAAUGUUUUAUUUUUUUGUAGCGAUGAGGUCUUGCUGUAUUGCCUAGGCUGGUCUCAAACUUCUAGACUUAAGUGAUCCUCCUGCUUUGGCCUCCCAAAGUGUUGGGAUUACAGGCGGGAGCCACGGUGCCCAGCCUGUUUCUUUUUUUAAUCAUAUUUUCUUAGAAGUUUUUUUUUUUUUUUUUUUUUUUUUUGGAGACAGGGUCUCACUCUGCUGUGCAGGCUGGAAUGCAGUGGUGUGAUCUCAGCUCACUGCAACCUCUGCCUCCCUAUUCAAGUGAUUCUCGUGCCUCAGCCUCCCAAGUAGCUGGGAUCACAGGCGUGCAACAUCACACCCAGCUAAUUCUUGUGGUUUUAGUAGAGAUGGGGUUUUGCCAUGUUGGCCAGGCUGGUCUCAAACUCCUGGCCUCAAGUGAUCCACCCACCUCGGCCUCCCAAAGUGCUGGGAUUACAGGCAUGAGCCACCACCCGGCCUAGGAAAGCUUUUUAGAGAUUGGGUCUCACUGUGUUGCCCAGGCUGGAGUGCAGUGGCUGUUCACAGGUGCAAUCAUCCCACAGGUUUAACUCCUGACCUCAAGCAGUCCUUCUGCCUCAGGCUCCCAAGUAGCUGGGAUUAUAGGCACGUGCCACCACACCUAGCUCAAUUAAAUGUUAAAUUUAACAUUUAAUUGUUAAAUUUUAUAGUAGCCAGCAUUCUGGGUCAUCACGGUGCAAUAGAAGUAUAAACAAAGCAGGCCAGGCACAGUAGGUCACGCCUGUAAUCCCAGCACUUUGGGAGGCCGAGGCGGGCAGAUCACCAGGUCAGUAGUUCGAGACCAGCCUGGCCAACAUGUUGAAACCCCAGUCUCUACUAAAAAUACAAAAAUUAGCUGGACGUGGUGGCAGGAGCCUGUAAUCCCAGCUACUCGGGAGGCUGAGGCAGGAGAAUCGCUUGAAACUGGAAAGUGGAGGUUGCAGUGAGCCGAGAUCCCGCCACUGCACUCCAGCCUAGGUGAAAGAGGGAAAUUACAUCUCAAAAAAACAGUAUAAGCAAGCCACAGAUUUGUCAGCGAGGUAUGUAAUUUAAAUUGGUACAUUGUUAGCCAUGUUUAAAAAUAAGUAAAAAGAAACGGGUGAUGUUAGUUGUAAUGUGUUUUAUUUAACUCAGUAGGUUGAAUAUGUUAUUAUUUAAACAUGUAGUCAAUAUUUUAAAAUACAGGAUGUUUUGCAUCUGUUAUCUUUCCAAAAUAGAAGAUACUUUGUGUCCUUUUUCUUUCCUGCAUGCUUUUUUUUUCUUAUUUUUUUGAGACAGAGUCUCACUCUGUUGCCAAGGCUGGAGUGCAGUGGCGGGAUCUCGGCUAACUGCAACCUCCCCAUCCCGGGUUCAAGCGAUUCUCCUGCCUCAGCCUCCCGAGUAGCUGCGAUUACAGACAUUUGCCACCAUGCCCGGGUAAUUUUUUGUGUUUUUAGUAGAGACAGAGUUUCACCAUGUUGCCCAGGCUGGCCUCGAACUCCUUACCUUAAGUGAUCCACCCGCCCUGGCCUCCCAUAGUGCUGGGAUUACAGGCGUGAGCCACCGCGCCUGGCCCCUGCCUGCUUUUGAAAUCUAGUAUGUAUCUUAUACUCCACAGCACAGCACAGCACCGCACAUCUCCAGUCGGACUGGCUACAUUUCAAGGGCUCAACCAUCACGCGUUACCAGUGGCUACUGCAUCAGACUGUGCAGUGCUAGAUGGGGAGUCAGAAGAGAAACCAAGUGAUUUCCAUGUCAAGUGGUGAACAGGCUAAGAAGAAAAACAGAGUCUCGCUGCAUCCCCCAGGCUGGAGUACAGUGGUAUGAUCUUGGCUCACUGCAACCUCUGCCUCCUAGGUUCAAGUGAUUCUCCUGCCUCAGUCUCCCGAGUAGCUGGGAUUACAGGCGCCCACCACCAUGCCCGGCUAAUUUUUGUAUUUUUAGUAGAGAUGGGGUUUCACUAUGUUGGCCAGGCUGGUCUCAAACUCCUGACCUCAGGUGAUCUGCCUGACUUGGCCUCCCAAAGUGCUGGGAUUACAGGCAUGAGCCACCUUGCCUGGCCUCUUCCUAAUGAUUUUUUAAAGUACAUCUUGUUUUCUCUGUCUUACUUUAUCAUAAAAAUAUAUGAUACAAAUAAAAUACAGAAUAUGUGU